UACGUAGGGGGCGAGCGUUACCCGGAUUUACUGGGCGUAAAGGGGGCGUAGGCGGACGUGCAAGUCCGGUGUGAAAACUCACGGCUCAACCGUGGGACUGCGCUGGAAACUACACGGCUUGAGGACGGUAGAGGGAGACGGAACUGCUGGUGUAGGGGUGAAAUCCGUAGAUAUCAGCAGGAACGCCGGUGGAGAAGUCGGUCUCCUGGGCCGUUCCUGACGCUGAGGCCCGAAAGCUAGGGGAGCAAACCGG
This 253-nucleotide ribosomal RNA is filed under the name uncultured microorganism. RNAcentral's name for it is "partial 16S ribosomal RNA". It matches the Rfam family "Bacterial small subunit ribosomal RNA", at positions 524 to 776 of the family's 1533-position model. The record is from RNAcentral.